RNAcentral lists this ribosomal RNA (426 nucleotides) under uncultured bacterium. Its description in RNAcentral is "bacterial SSU rRNA". It matches the Rfam family "Bacterial small subunit ribosomal RNA", at positions 355 to 773 of the family's 1533-position model. The record is from RNAcentral.
UGGGGAAUAUUGGACAAUGGGGGCAACCCUGAUCCAGCAAUGCCGCGUGUGUGAAGAAGGCCUUCGGGUUGUAAAGCACUUUUGUCCGGAACGAAACGUGUCGGGUUAAUAGCCCGGCAAACUGACGGUACCGGAAGAAUCAGCACCGGCUAACUCUGUGCCAGCAGCCGCGGUAAUAAAGAGGGGGCAAGCGUUGUUCGGAAUUACUGGGCGUAAAGGGCGCGUAGGCGGCCUGCUAAGUCGAACGUGAAAUCCCCGGGCUCAACCCGGGAACUGCGUCCGAUACUGGUAGGCUUGAAUUCGGGAGAGGGAUGCGGAAUUCCAGGUGUAGCGGUGAAAUGCGUAGAUAUCUGGAGGAACACCGGUGGCGAAGGCGGCAUCCUGGACCGAAAUUGACGCUGAGGCGCGAAAGCCAGGGGAGCAAAC